GGCAGUUCUUGGGUGAUACACCCUGGAAUUAGGCUCCCUCCUCUCUGGUUCCAGGUGCAUCACUGGAGAACCACA
Myotis davidii is the source of this 75-nucleotide non-coding RNA. The record is from Rfam. Lineage: Eukaryota; Metazoa; Chordata; Mammalia; Chiroptera; Vespertilionidae.